This is a transfer RNA of 148 nucleotides. It matches the Rfam family "tRNA". Rfam says of the family: Transfer RNA (tRNA) molecules are approximately 80 nucleotides in length. Their secondary structure includes four short double-helical elements and three loops (D, anti-codon, and T loops). Further hydrogen bonds mediate the characteristic L-shaped molecular structure. tRNAs have two regions of fundamental functional importance: the anti-codon, which is responsible for specific mRNA codon recognition, and the 3' end, to which the tRNAs corresponding amino acid is attached (by aminoacyl-tRNA synthetases). tRNAs cope with the degeneracy of the genetic code in two manners: having more than one tRNA (with a specific anti-codon) for a particular amino acid; and 'wobble' base-pairing, i.e. permitting non-standard base-pairing at the 3rd anti-codon position. The record is from Rfam.
GGAGAUGUAGCUUAGUGGUAAAGCUCACAAGAAGUAACGGAUGCUCACACGCUCUAAAGCUGUGCCUGCAAGAAAUUGUAGGAAACUGAGGAGUUACAAGCGUGUUCUUCGGAAUUGUGGAUCGUUGGUUCGAAUCCAACCAUCUCUA